GGUUUGUGGCUUAAUGGUAGAGUACUUGCCUAGCAUGUGUGAGGCACUGGGUUCGAUUCUCAGAACCA
RNAcentral lists this transfer RNA (68 nucleotides) under Marmota monax (woodchuck). RNAcentral's name for it is "tRNA.Ala". The record is from RNAcentral. Lineage: Eukaryota; Metazoa; Chordata; Mammalia; Rodentia; Sciuridae.